This 84-nucleotide microRNA precursor is filed under the name Aotus nancymaae (Ma's night monkey). RNAcentral describes it as "miRNA (ENSANAG00000000754.1)". The record is from RNAcentral. Lineage: Eukaryota; Metazoa; Chordata; Mammalia; Primates; Aotidae.
UUAGGUUGCUGCAAAAGUAAUUGCAGUUUUUGCCACUAAAAGUAAUGACAAAGCUACAAUUACUUUUGCACCAACUUAAUACUU